GCAGUGUGGUAGAAGGCGCUUCCCCCAUACUUGGAGUCAGACAGCCCUGCGUCCGAAUGAGGCUCCUUUGCCUGCAAGUCCUGUGACCUAGGCCAGUUUCCUUAGCCUCCGUCACCUAACCUCAGUCUGCCCAUAUGUAAAAUAGCUCAUACCUUCUGCAGGAACGAAGCUCCACGAAGGCAGGGAUGUUCGUCUGUCUGUUUGCUCCUGUGUUCCAGUACCUGACGUAGAUUUCUCUGGGGACUGUGUUGACAACAGUGAAGGGAGACAAAGAUGGAAGCAGAAGACCCACUGUGAAGACUUGGUGACAACGGGGUGAGAGGGGACGGCGCUCAGACUUGGGUGGCAGAGGAGGUAAGACGUGGUCAGACUCUGAACAUCUUUUGAGGGAAGAACCAACAAAAUUUGCUGACAGAUUGGAAGGGCAAUGUGAAAAAGAGAGAGGAGUUAAGAAUGACUUCAAGGAUUUUGGACCUGAGCAAAUGGAAAGAGUGAGCUGUCAUGAACGGAGGUGAGAAAGACGACAAGAGAAAGGAUUUGGGGAUGUUUGGUGAGGUAGGGGUCAGGAAGCUGGUUUUUGUCAACAUGUUCAAUGGGAGAUGCCUGAAGACACCCAUGGGAUGUGCUGAGCAGCAGGGGAGAGGCUGGGCUGGAGAGACACUUGGGACCAACAGUGUAUAGAUGGUAUUUGAAGCCAGGAGGCUGCGGGAGGUCACAGAGGAGUGAGGGUGGGGACGGAAAAGAAGAGGGCUGAGGACCGGGCCCUAGGCCUCCUGUGCAAAGUGUUGGGGAAGGUGGAGAGUACUCAGCAAAGGAGACCGAGGUGAAGCCACCAAGAUAGGAGGGGAAUCCAAAGAUCGCUGUCCUGACAGCCAAGUGCAGAAAGAGCUUCCGGGAGGAGGAAGUGAAUGGUGUGUCCAGUGCUCUGUCAGCUCCGUUAAGAUCCAGACUGAGACUUGACCAUCAGAUUUACGGAGAGGGGUCACUGUUGACUUUAACAAGAGCCCUGUGGAGGAAGGGCGGGGGUGCGAGCCUGACCAGAGUGCCUCCAAGAGCAAGAGAGAGGAGAAGAUUGGGAAUUAGGGCAGGUACUUGACUCUGAGGAGCAAAGAAGCAGAGUGACAGACGGAAGAGGAUGUGGGCUCAAGAGACGGGUGUGUGUGUGUGAGAGAGACAUAUCAGCGCGCCUGCAUGCUGAUGAGAAUGAUCAAGUCUUGAGGAGACCUUCAGGAUGCGGGUGAAGAGGAGAGACUUGCUGGAGCCAUGGCCUUGAGAGAAUGAGAGCAGACGGCAUCCCGCGCCCCGUGGAGGAGGGGUGUUUGCUGGGAGCACAGGCACACAGCUGUACAAUGGAAGAGCGGUCCCCGCAGAGGGCAGAGGAGGCGGGGCGGGGCGUUCCCAGAGCCAGCACAGGGUGAGAGACACCCACGUUCCAUAGCAGGGACAUGUGCAGGCAUUUGCUCUCGGCUAUUUACAUACAUUAGCUUCAAAUUCUUGCAACAACCCAAUGAGAUAAAUGCUGUCACUGUGCCCAGUUUAGGUAGAAUACUGAGGCAUAGCAAUGUUCAGAAUUUUGUCCAAAGUCACACAAGUAGCAAUCGGCAUAGUCUGGCUGAUGACCCCUGCUCGCUGUACCAGGAUGAACGGAGGGACGACGGCUCAGCGGCAGCUGGACGAGAAGCUGCAGAGUUUGGUGAACCCAGAGCUGCGAUGAACUGACUGGUUUCUCCUUCUGAGAUGUCUGCUCAUUUGCAGGGCACUUUUCAGUCAUUCCCAACCGAGUCAGGAGGCCAGCAGGCAGAGGCGGGGCCAGGUCAAGCUCCCAGUGUGGCCUUGGUGCAGUCCGGAGUAUCGUUCCUCCCCACGGCCAUACAUUUUCCAUUGAUUCCCACAGGGAUUAUGGUGGCGUUUCCUCUCCUUUCCCUUCAAAGACACUCCUAGGAGCCUGAGCUCCUGGAUUGCAGUCCCCCGUCUUCCUGAGGAAGGGAAGGGAGGGAGGACAUGUUGAGGUGGCGUAGAACUGGUUCUGGCGCAGGCUGGCUGACUCGCUGCAAUCCUCUGGGCCUUGGCUGCGCGAGGCAGACAGGCCAGGCUGGGAUCUUCGUUCAUGGACUCCCGUGUUCCGUCAGCACACGGGUACCGCGUGCAGCUGUGUGCCGGCAUAGCACAGGGCACUGAGAUACGACCACCAGCACGAAGGGUGCGUCCUGCCUUUGUGAGCGUGCAGUCUGUGGGGGCGGGGUGAGGGGAGGCACUGAUAGCCACACGACUCUAAACGGGAUGCACGCUCUGAAGGAAUUUCCCAGCAUGCUGUGAGAGUCCCCUUUCCUGAGCACUUGUGUAAUGUGUGGGAAAUCUGACUGAGGCUUGACCACAAAACAAAACUGUCUUCAUUCAUUGUUCAUUCAUUCAUUCCUUCAAAAAAUUGUAACGAGCACCUGCCUUCUGGAGCAGUGGCUUUGUGUUUUGCAUUCCCCAACGAAGGGAUAAAUCAAGGCUGAUAGGAAGAUAUGACAUGAAAUGGGGCUGGGAACAAGUUUAUUUGGUCAACCAAAUUCAAGAGACAUUCGCUAUGUUUUGCUGUGGGCCCGGCGCUAGGACAUGAGUGUGUCGGGGUCAGGACGUGAUGGUGUCUGCCCUCAGGGAGCUCUUGGGGAACCCUGGGGUCUAAGUCUUGGGCAGAGGGGAGUAAGCUGGACCAGGGUGAGCCCACUGGGGUUUGAAUCUGGGCUUCACCACACAAGAGUAUAAGACCUAAGGGGAAUUUUGAAACAUUCUGUAGCCUCCAUUUUCUCAUCUGUAUAUAAAAAUAAGGACAUUUCUCAAUAUUAUUAUAUACUGUGCUAAGCACUGAGCGUGCACUACUUCAUUGACCCACAUAACAGCCUUAGAGGUAUGUUCUUUCCUUUCUCCAUUUAACUGAUGGGGAAACCGAAGCUCAGAAACGAAAAGAGAUGCUGAUGUCAUAAUGCUGCCAAGGGCUCUCUUUUAUUCUCACAAGAUAUAGGACAGGUGGCUGACAGAGACCCCACAACCCUCAGGCAACGUGGGCUCCAAACUUGUCUGAUCCAUCAUCUCUCUUAGAAACGCUACAAAACAUGUCCUCAUCGAUCUUGUUUAUUUAGAAACAAAGACCUGUCCUACCAUCCGUCUACAUGGCAAAGAUUCACUUCUUAUCUUGGAUAAAAUCAAAUAUACAUAAAGAUUGCAUCUAAACAUAAAUACAGAUACAAUUGCUCCCUGCCCCCCAGUGAGUCACUGAGCACUUGGAGACCAUGCUCCCAGAUCACUUCACGGGGGACAAUGGUGCCCAGAGAGGCCAAGCAACUUGUCCAGUUGCUCAGUGGCAGUAGACCGCUGGGGAGAUUUUGCCCCCAGGUGACACUGGGCAAUAUCUGGAGACAUUUUUCAUUGUCGUGACUGAUGUGUGGGGUGAAAGGGAUGCUGCUGGAACCCAGUAGUAGAAGCCAGGAAUUCUGUUAAGCCAGGAGCCCACAGUGCACAGGACAGACCCCCACAGCAAAGGAUUACCCGGCCGCAAAUGUGAAUAGCACCAAGGCUGAGAAACCCUGGUCUCAGCCCUCUGGGGCCAGGUGGCCUGAGUGUGAAUUUGGGCUCUGUUGCUGGCUGGCAACCGUGAGCACAUUACUUAACCUCUGACCUCCAGUUUUUUCGGCUGAAACGGAGGUUAAUAAUACCAGUGUGGGAAGACGGUGGCAUUAAAUGAGACCCUUUCUAUGCGAAAGGCCAAGGGUUAAUUCUCAUCUUGUUCUCCCACGCCCCUGUCCUCAGUGGUCUCAGCUCUUCCGUGAAGUUGACUUAUUUCCCAGGGCGACUGGGAAGGGUCGGCCGAAAGCCGCCAAGGGCAUUGGAAGCUACACAAGCGCUCUAAAUGCUAAGGAGCCAGGCCAAUCGGUCAGAAAGUUCCAACGCGGGUUUCCAUGUUGCAAGACCUGAGGCAGCGCCCAGGAGAGGGCGCGAGCUGGGGGUGUCUGUGAGCUGCGGGUGCCAGUGGGAGGGGUAAGUUCAGUCUGUCUACAGCAGGGCGGCAGCCUCCCUCCUUCUGUCCCACCUCUUCUCUGAACAUUUCCUGCUCCACUUCUUGGAACUGUCUCUCCCUUCUUUCUUUCCUUUCUUGCCUACUUCCUUCCAGUGAACAGACUUCAGACAUCAUCACACAGAGACAACCCAGUCCUGACCAUCACUGUAGACAGACAUAGAAACAGACCCUUGCAAUCCGUGUCCUGGUACAGAGGGGCGCCAGGAAGGAGGUGGUCCAGCCUAUCUGAGAAUGGAGAGAGGGUUUGGGAAAAAGGUUCUUGGAGGUGUGGCUGGAGCUGUGAGACCCAGCCCCCAUCUCUAACCAGGUUAGAUGCCUCUGCUACCAGGUUGUCAGUAGACUGUAGGCAUCGUGUGGGCAGGGACUUCUAUUUUGUUCCCUGUUGGAGCCUCAGAGCCUGGAAUGGUGCCUAGCAUAUGGUGGGCACUACUACAUAUUUGUGGAAUGAAUAAACAGUGUUUAGAAAUUUGCCAAAUGGGCCUGGGAGAGAAGGGAAGGGCAUUCGGAGCACGGGGAACAGAACUAGCAAAGGCAGGCAAAAGAUGAGAAUUAUGAAAGAUAUAGGAGGAAAUGCUGGGGAUGGUUAGUGAGCUGGGCACGUGGCCCCAGCCCAGGGCUGGUAGCAGAGGCCUUGCAUGUGUGCGGCAAGUCAUUGUAAGUUAUCCGAAGAUGAGAGGAUAUUUUUUUCAGGGAAAGGGUGCAUUAAGAAAGAAAGAGUUGGGAAGGGCAUGACAGCACUCAUUCAGCAACAUUUACUGAGUGCCUGUGAGGUUCCAGGCACUGCGCUAGCCUGGGAGAGAGAUAGCAGGGGCCAGAACCAGUGGGGAUGGGACUCAGGAGCUAAGCUUCGCACAGCACUGAGUGAGCGCCUGCUGCCUGACUGGGGGUGGGCUGGAGGAGGCUGCUGGGGGAAGGGCCAGUCAAGCAGGACUCUGUGGUUUUAUGCCACAGGAACUGACAGGGUGCUGGAGUCAUCGAGGAAAAUAGAGACUACAGAAAGAAACGGGUUGGAGUAGAAAGUGCACUGUGUGACUUUGGGCCAAUUCCUUCUGUGAGCCUUAGUUACUAUUUUUAACAUUAUCAUGAUUACAAACCAGGCAUAGGAGCUUUAUGUACCCAUUUCAUUUAAUCCUUAUAACAUUUCUGCAAAGGAGAUAUUCUCUCCCCCAUUUUACAAAUGGAGAAAUUGAGGCACAGAACUUUAAAUGAUUUCCCAAGGUCAUAGAGCUAGUAAGAUGCUGGGAGAAGCAACAGCGGCAUUGAAGGAUGUCAGACUCCCAAUCCAUUCCUUUCUCCCUCCACCCAGCUCCAAGAAGCUCACCUCAGACACUGGCCUCCAGGCCACCAGCUUAAUCUUGAGAGGUCCAAACUGCUGCUGGAGCCAUCCGGGCUCCCCGGGUCUGCGCUGGGGCAGCGGGUCCGAGCCCCCUGCGGCUAGAAGCUGCGCUCUUCUCAGGACCAUUCCCCACAGACCAUUCCCUCGGUGGAGCCUGGAAAGAAGGUUAAAGGCGACUUCUGCACGUCAGUCAAGAGGCUCCUUCUUGCGAGUGUGACAUCUUAGCCUGAGCGAGGCCGUGCCCAUCUCUAACACAGGGCGGCUGCCAGCGCGUCUCGGGAGGAGCCGGGAAAGACUGCAGGCACCUGCAUGGGGCUUCUCGCGUGGCGAGUGCUCGAUCCACGGAGGAGACACUGGAGGGGUGGCCGGGCCCACAGGCCCCCGGGAGGCAGUUUGCUCUCCUUCAAACCCCAGUUCAUCACAGCUCACACCAGCUGUGACAUGUGGGGCAGGUCUUAAUCUCUUAGUGCCUUGGUUUCUUGAUCUGUAAAACUGGUGUAAUAACAGAAUCUACUCUGUAGGGUAGUAGCAGAGAUGAAAGGAAUGGAGAUGAGAGAUGCCUGAUGCACUCAGAACACCGCCUCCUACCUCCCCAGUGGAACGGCCCAAGGACUCCUGCCCAUGCCUUUCUCAGAAACCAGCCCCCCCACAAAGGAGGAGGAGUCAUUGCGAGCAGGCUCCAACGAAGAGGAAGGGAAUAGUGGCUUUGAUUCAUUCUUUUCUCCAACGUUUUUUUAUUGAGCAUUUAAUUUGCAGCAUGUCAAACACUUAGGUGCCAGGGAGGCUCCACAAGCAAGACGGCACCACACCCCAAGGAACUCGAGGUGGAAAACGAGACCGGGGGAUAAGGAACCGAGAAGCCCGGCGUGUUGGGUCACAGCAGGGGAGAGUCAGGACUUCUGGUUGGGAAUGGCAUUUGCAAAGAUACCGAAUGUUCACGCUUUGCCUUGCACAGCUAUUUGCAUUCAGUAAGAGGAAAUUGUGGGUUUUAUUACCAAAAUGGUUGAUUAUGAAAAUGAUGAAGAUAAUGAUGUCCUUGGAAAUGACUCCAGCAUGUGAAGGUGGAGGAGGGGAGAACGAUGGGAGAGGAGGCUGGGAGUGGGGCAAGCAGAGUCUGGGUCCAAAAGGUCCCAGUGAGCCAGACAGGGAGUUUAAAUUUCAUCCUGGAAGCAGCAAGGCCCCUGGGAAGAAUUUCAAGCAGGAGAGGUGGGUGGCCAGCUCUGUUUUAACGAGAUCAUACCGGAGGCUGCGUUGAGGCUGGGUUGGAGUGAGGUUGACUGGAGUCUGGGAACAUUAGAAAGGUAACUGGCAGCUGGCCUCACUGGGGGGCAGGGGAAAGGGGGCACCACCUCACCUGGACUUGAGAUGAGCUGUGUCACAUCCAGGCCUCAAUUCUAUCAACUUGAGCUUAGUGUAUAUGAAUCCAAAAGGGAAUAAUGUCCACUGACUUCCCAGCUGUCUCCAGGAAUGAAGAUUGGCAACCUGGUCCCUCUCUUUUCUGAGGCCCUGGGCAGCCAGAGGGCCAGGGUCAUGGGCUUGGCUGUGGUAGGCAGAAUAAUGGCCCCCCCCAAAUACGUCAAGGUCCUAAUCCCCAGAAUGUGUGAGUAUGUCACUUUACAUGAUAAAAAAGACUUAGCAGAUGUGAUUAAGAUAAGGGUCUUGAGAUGGGGAGAUUAUCUUGGAUCAUCCCAGGUGAGAGGAUGCUGCACUGCUGGCUUUGAAGACGGAGGAAGCGGCCUUGAGCCUGGGCACGUAGGCACCUCUAGAAAGUAGAAAAGGAGCACAAACAGAGGCACUCUCAACAAGAAUAUACACCUAUGUGCUGGGGGGCUUUGGGAAGGGAAGAAAAAAUGAAAGUGGAAAAGGCAAAGAAUGGGACCCUCCCCUGCAGCCUCCAGAAGGGCCGGCUCUGUCUGUCGGCAUGACUUCAGCCCAGUGCCGCCGGCUCGGGACUUCCCACCUCCAGCAGCAGCACAAGACAGCAUGCGGCUUUACGCCACCAAGUUUGAGCUCAUCUUAGGAAUUGAAAGGAGGGUGUUCUUUUUCUUCCCUUAGUUCCUGCCCAGGGCCAGGACUAGCUGGAGGGGGACCAUCCAGGAAAGCUCCAAACCGUGUUUGUCCUGGAGGCUGAGGAGACGCCAACGGGUGAGAGAGGGAGGAGAGCGCACAGAUGCAGUGCAGACGCUGCCCUGGAGAGAACGCUGCUCCGGGCCAGGCUCGUGCUGGGCGCUCUCAUGGACUGCCUCACUCUCCUCUCAAUAACCAGGGGGAAACUGAGGCACACAGAUUUUAAGUAACUUGCCUGAGGCCGCACAGCUAUAAGCGGCAGAGCAGAGACCUGCCCCCGUGUGCCGCUGGAGCCCACGCUCUUUACCUUGCACUGUAUCCUAGGAGGAGCCGGGGGUGGGGGAGGCACUGUGGGGCGUUCCUCGAGUGGGAACCUGUGUCACCAGCCGCCCAAACUUCUGCUUGCCCGAGGUGUCUUGUCUCUCCCCGUUUCAGGAUAGCGGCGAAGGAAGGGGAAUUCCCUCUCUGUCUCUCUCUGUCUGUAUAACCCUUGACCCCUCUGCUGGAGCUUUCCCUGGAAAGGAUGUGACCCAAGAUGAGAUAUCAGGAAAGCAGGUGUGUCUGGCCGUGUUUGACCCUCAGCAGUUCUGUGGCCUUGACUUCAUCCUGAGCUAUCAGAGUGGGCAGGAGUAUAUUUCAGACGGGGAAACUGAGACCCAGAGUAGGAAUUGUCUUGCCCAGAAUGGUUUCUGCAAGGGGCAGUUUUCCACCCUCAGGAGGCCUCUUUGUCAUGGACUAUGGAGGUGGCAAAAGAGAUACAAUGCGUGUCUAUAACCAGGCUCUGCAGUGGCAUCUGAUGCGGCUUUUCUGGUCUGCCUCAGUCACAGAUUAUGAUAAAAAUUCCUGGUUCAGCCACUUAACUGGCUGAGUGACCCUGGGCAAGUUAUCCAACCCCUCUGUGCCUCAGUUUCAUCACCUAGAAAAUGGGGAUUACCUAUGUAAAGUGUUUCCUGCUCUGGUGGAUGAGGCGGGGGCAAAGAGACAAUGAUGCCAGUACCCAACACUUCCAAAACAGGGAGCGCUGGAUGGGCUCGGACCUGACGCCGAACCCCUUUCUGUUCUUUUUCUCCUCUCAGUUCUUCUCCCCAGAGUUUUCACAGGAAUUGAGAAUCGUCAGAGAGAGUUUGGUCACAUCCGGUUCUACCUGCCCCUGACAGGGGGAGCGGUGAGCCUUGGGAGCAUCUGGGAGGCCAGGGCUGCACACUCAGGGCUGCCAGCUCAGGGGGAGGUCCGGGUUUGCUGUGGGGGGGCAGCCAAUGCGGGGAGGAGCCAAGGGAAGCCCCUCCCCCGGGAGGUGUGGGCCCAGCCUUGCUCCUGUCCCGCUCUGGCUUCACUCUCUUGGGCUACAGAGACAUCCAUAAAUGAUGUGCCCUCUCUUAAUGACUGCAGCCACCAUGUGCAGGGGCUUUGACAGGGUUCACUUGGUGAGCCCAACAGGCCACUGAGGCAGUAAUGCCUAGCCCAUUUCAACAGCGGAAGAAGCAGGAGCCCACACACUCUGGCCCGCAGGCUCCAGAGGUCCUGCUCGGUCUAGCACUGCAUCCCUCCAUGCUCCCUCACUCAUCCCACUCCCGCCCCCUCCUGCGGGGCCGCCUCCGUGCUGGCCCCAGACAGACCCUGUGCUGAGGUCCCCCACCCUCGCACGUGUCCCCUACCCCUGUGUCACCUCUCUGAGCCCUUUCUUUAAGGUCAGUUUGAAGCUCCCUGCUUCCCUUCCUCCCUUCCACAAACCUUCCGAACAACUUCUGUCUCCCUCCUCGACAAAACCUCGAAUAGACCCCUGCACCCCCCGAGUUGUCAGAAGGGACAGCGUGGCCAGGAAGGGAUGGCACUUGUUGACGCUUGCCACAUGCUGCCUACUGUGCAAAACAGUUUACAUGUAUCACUCCAUUUGAUUCUCUUGGGAGGCAGGUGCUAUCAUUGUCCCAUUUUACAGAUGAGGAAACCGAGGCUUAAAAAGUUUAGGCUACCCACCCAAGAUCACAGAGGCAGGAAAUGGAAAAAUGUGGACCCAAACUCAGAUCCGUCUGAGCCUAAAGCUUGUGCUCUUUACCGCACAAUUUGGCCUCCUGCUCUCUAGGCGCCCCUCGCCAGGCUGGCCCUAUCUCCCUUCUAGGUCUCAUCUCCAUGGGCCCUCCUGUCAUUCACUCCAAUUGACUCCCCUUGCAUUUUCGUUCCUCUGGGCCUUUGUGCAUGCUAUUCCUUCUACCUGGAACACCUUUCCCUUUCUUUUGUGCCAUCAAAAGCCUUCCCAUGCAGGGAGCCCUUUCUCUGGGAGUCCCUCCUGGAGGCCCUGGCGGCUCCCACCUCCGACUGUGGAGAGAGCCACUUCCUUCCUGCUGGCCCUUGCAGCGUGCUUCUCUAUGUGACUGCAGCGUGCUGAGUCUGUGCUGGUGUCCAACUGCCACACAUUAACUGAGCACCCAUUUCGUGCCUGGCACUGGGGGCUCUUGGGACAUGGGGGUGAGCCAGAUAGGUGUGUCUCAGCUGUUGCAGCGUUUGCAGCCUUGGGGUGAGGAACAGGCCCAUGCUCAGGACCACACGGCGGCCUGAGUCUUGUGGUGGGGCAGGAUAAGGGGCUUCAAGUGCUCCCAAGAGGAGCACCUAUCCAGGACCAGGAUGGGCAGCAGGGCUCCAUGGAGCAAGUGGUAGUAAACCAAGGUGGAGAGAGUCAAGCCAGGAGGGGGUGAAGGGGGAAAGCAAUGUCUCAGGCAAAGGGAACAGCCUGUGCAAAGGCCCAGGGGUGAUAGAAAGCUAGGUGAGAUCAGAAUGCCACAGAGAUUGGCAUGGCCAGAAAAUAGAGCAUGCAAGGCAAGUGUUGCAAGAACACUCUGGAGAGGCGAGCUCCGACUCUGGCCAAAAACGUUUGCCAGAAUCUUGCCUCUCUCUCCCACUCAUCUGUGGGCUCAGGUGGCUUAGAGGACAGUGUGGCAUGGGAGUUAACAGCCUGGCCUUGCAGCCAGCAAACCCAGGUGUGGCUUGAGUGACUUCAGACAGCUGCUUACCUGUUCUGGGUCCCACUCUCAUCUUUUAAAUGGGAAUCAUCAUACCACCCCCUCCGAGGGCUUGGAGAGGACUGUGUAACGGAAGGGAUGAGCACAGUCUCUGGCCCACGGGAGCAGCUGAAUGCAGGGCUGCUGCAGCGAUGGCAAGAACACAUGGGAACGUGUUAGACACCAUGUUGCUGUUGUCACCAGUAUUCUUACCAUUAUUUCUGUUGUUGGAUCUGAGUCGUCUCUGCCUCUCUUAUGGAUGGCACCAAGGGCUCUGUUGCCUACCCAGCUCUGGGUCCUGGGGAAGGAGCCGGCAAGAUGGCGAGCGCCAGGAUCAUAGAACAACCCCUUUGCCCUCCGCAGCUGUGCGCGGGCCAGGGAAUGAGAGGUCUGUAGCCCUGUGGACUAGUCUGGCAGGGGCUCCGGACACAGAAUCCGGAUGCUAUGUGAACACCCCAGCCUGGCUGGGAAAGCUGCCCACCAGCCCGUCCCCCUCUGCCCUUAUAUGGCCUUCCCUUUCUUGGGGAUGAGUUGAACCUCCUCAGGGUUGGAUGUUCUCGUCCCCCUGCAGGACGCCAGGACGCCUGCUGGGGUGGUGAUUCUUUUCUUGUGGGCAUUCCCAUCUGAUCAAUUUUCUGCCCUCUCUGGCUGCUCUGAGCUGAGGGCUGCCCCCUAAGAACGCAUCACCCAGACCCCCUUGGGCUCUCAAUUCUGGCCGGAUCUGGCCACAGGGAAGCUGCAGCAGGAGAGAGGAGUGUACGGGGAGAGAGGUCAGGCAUCCAUCCCUCUCUCCGUCUGCUCCUUCUUCCACUGUCCUGACAUUGGCUGUGACCAGGACAGCUGUAGCUCCCUGGCUGCUCCUCCUUGGCUCCGGCUCUCAGGCCCCCCAGAGCACCUUCCUUCUCUUCUGCUUGAUCGCUAAGAGGGGUGUGGGCUUCCCGCUGCUCUAGGCCCGGGGGGGCUGCCUUGACCUCUCUUGCUGGUUUCCUUGACCUGCCCCCGCCUCUGAGCACAGCCCUGCUCCGCGCUGUUGCUGUCGCUGUCGCAGGCUGCCUGUCUCCCGCUGACUCCCAUCAGUGUUCCGCGGAGGCUGUCCAGGCUCCUCCAAGAGACCCCGCCCAGCCAGGACCAGGGUGCAGGGCUGCCCCUCUUCUCCUCUCCUGUAACCUGGGUGCCUCCUAAGAGGGCAGGCCAGGGUCCCACAUGGGCACUCGUCCUGGAGGGGUUGGAGCUGCCUGUGGGACUGCAGAGGAAGCCAGGAUUCCAUCACAGAGGGCCUCAGGGGCCAUGGGGGGAGGAUUUGGGGUUUUAAGAACAACAAGCUGUGGCAGAUUUUUGGGAUGGGGAUUGCCAUCCUCUGGUUUACAAAUGUAGAGGAUUUAUCUGCUGAGAGGUUCUAGACGGUCUGUGUAGACCCAGGGAAGCUAUCUGGGGUGCUGGGGCAGUAGUUGCCCUGUGACAUUAUGGGGCUCUGCCACCAUUAGAGACAUCUGCCACCUCCACUGUGAAGCCUCAGCUGGUCACCCACGAAGGGUUGAAGGCUUCCUUCCUGUGUGUUCACAAAACUUUGUCACAGCAGCUAUCACAGUCGCCCCUCCUCCUGUCCGCAGCGCGCCUCUGCCUCAGCGCCCGCUCACUCCCGGGUCCCAGCACGCGCAGGGCCUGCACACAGAGGGUGCGGUAGGGCUGGCGCUUCGCUGAACUGGUUGGGACUGUCUACCUUCAGUGCAAAUGCCUUUGAAGGUGCCUCCUGUUACAACAUGAGUAACUGUUAAGGGAUGCCCAGCGUCAGAUCAGCUUGCGCCGCCUUGUCAGGCAAGGAGAGACAGUGGACAUUGGCUGCGUGCUUCCCCACGCCGCCUCGUCCAGUCCACUUGCCAGCCCUGGGAACAGGCAGUCCUGCCCCGUUUCACAGAGGGGAAACGGAGGCUCAGAAGAGUGGUCUAACUUGGAUCAGGUCGCCCAGCUUGUGAGUGACAGAGCCUGGGUGCCAACCAGGUCUCUCUGUCUCCUAAAGCUGUCAGCGGAGCCAAACGCCGCCAGGAGAACUGGACCAGCCUGCUCAGGAAACUGGCCUGGAAAGGUACACUUUUGUUUUGUUUUGUUUUUGCUGAGGAAGAUUGGCCCUGAGCUAACAUCUGUGCCAGUCUUCCUCUAUUUUGUAUGUGGCUUUCUGUCACAGCAUGGCUGCCCACAAGUGGUGUAGGUCCACAUGUGGGAAGCAGACACGGGCUGCUGAAGUGGAGCACGUCAAACUCAACCACUGGGCCACGAGGCCGGCCCCUGGAAAGGUACCUUUUAAUAACAGUGAAGGAACAAAAGUUCAACAGUUGUGCCACGUCGCUUUGCGGAUGUCAGCUGCCACUCUGCUGCAGCUGAGGAGACAUGCUCUGGAGUAUCGGGCUCCUCUCUGCGGGCUGAGGACUUUGCGCGACCACUUCACAGCUCCUCCUCAGUUUCAGCGUCCUGCCUCUAAGAAGCUCCUGGACCUUCUGGGUCUUGGAUAGGCUCCUCUUGUACACGUCUAUGUAGUUCCUCGUGAUUGCCUACACGCACACACACACGUGUAUGUGUGUAUAUAUAGGUUAAGCCUUGAGAGUUCUGGAGCCAUCUCCAGGAGGGCCUGAGCACUGUCUCCUCCUACAGAGAAGGCUCGGCGGGGCUCGAGGUGUAGACCUGUUUUUAGUAGCCCGGAGUGGGAAGGGCCAAAGGGUGAAAGCUCCAGAGGGACAGUUUUUAGACUCUCUUCAGAGUCAGCCUGAGGAAGAACUUUCUAGCAGUGAGACUUUGUCCAGGAGGCAGCAGGCUCCUCGGGAACCUGCCGGCACAGGCUGGGAGAGGCAGCCCUGGAGGAGACCAGCCUCAGGGGGAGCCGGGAGGGGUGGGACUGGCUGUGAACUGACAGGCUGCUUCAUUCCGGGGCUGGAAGCUCUGUGAUGAUGGCAAACCCUCCGCUGAUUAAUUUCCUCCGGAGUGCUUGGCCCAUCACAUACGUGGCCUCAUUUAAUCUCUGUGGUAGCCCUGCAGGGUAGAUGCUGUCCAGUUGGUGCGUGAGGAAACAAGCCUUAGAGAAGUUAGGUAACUUGCCCAGGAGGACUUGGCAGAGCCAGGAUUUGAAUGUAAGCUGAGUCGGACCCGAAAGCUCCAUUUAAUAAGGCAGCUGCCACCACCUCCCCCAGGACUUAGGUUCCUACGAGCUUCACCCAAGUCACCAGCACAACUUAGUUCAUUUUGUUUCGCUUUUGUGUGCCUCAGUUUCCCCUCCAGGGGAAACUACCCCUUUGAUGUUGGAAGUCAGCCCGCAGGCUAGACCCAUCAGACUAGUCUGCUCUGGGAGAGUGGGGGCCUGGCCUGGGGCACAGACAGUUCCCAGACUGUUUGGUCCGUCCUAAGCUUCCCUUUAUCUCCUUCUAGAAGGAGUCCAUUGUUUACCAGCUUGUUACUGUGGCUCUGGGCGCAUUAUGGAUCCAAGCAGGUGACACGGAGCAUGGAGCUGCAGCCAAGAGAAGGUUUCAGAAAGACGUGGUCCCACCGUAGCAGUGAGCAGGCAGGAGAGUCAUCGCCCUCCCGGAAACCAAGCCCGCUUUGGAUUGUAGAGAACAGACCGCACAUCUGACACGCGAGUUUCCCAAUUCCUCCCGAUUUGUAGGCUGAGUUUGUAAAACUCUAAAUAUUUGUCUGACUUUUAAGACUGUUUUCUUCAAGUCUCAGUCGGAGACUCUGGAGGGAAACGCCUAGAGCCCCGGGCCGGCGCUGGGCUGGGAGCUGGUGCCCGGAAGUCGCUCCUGCUUCCUGGGUUUGGUGAGCACCUCCUCAUCAGAUUGCCCUGGAAACCUCCACGAGCUGCCAUCAGACAGAUGGGUCUCCUUCUGCAUGGGGAGGGCUGAGGCCCAGGACCUCCAGCACAUGUCCCAUCCUCUUUGCUGGACCAUUCUGCUGCUCGUGGCAUGACCCUGGCACAGUGGCCACGUGGGAUUAAUUCCAAACCUCUGACCUGGCUUUGCGCAUGCCGUUCCUUCUUCUUAGACUCUCCUUCCCUCACCUCCUCUGAACUCAGGGCUCUCCAACUUCAUCCUCAGGACUCAGUGUGGUUCCUCCUCUGGGACGAGGCUCUAAGGGGGAAGUGGCUGUCGGCUCUGUGCUCCUUUCUAGCAUCAGCCCCUUUCUUGUCAUCUUUGCGUGUCCCUGUUUCUCAUCUGGGAGCUCCUUCAGAGCAGGGCGUUGUUGUUCAUUUAAAGAUCUUUAGGCCCUGACAUAGGGCCCAGUCUGCGGCUGGUACUCAGUGAAAGAAGGACUUCAAGAGGAGUCCUGAAUUUUAAACUUUUUGCUCAAAUGAACAGGGCACUCGGGCCUUCACAGAAAGAGUGGUAGGAUGAGGGGUGCGUGGACUGCUGUUUAGGAGACCCCUCGGGCCGAUCUGGGUCAGCCCCCAUUAUUCUGCACCUGAGAAAGUGGGAGCUUAGUGACAUCCCAGCUGCAUGUGUUGCUGGCAGAGCUGAGGUCUCCCCACUCUCAGUCCAGUGCCCAAUCUGUGAUCUCAGGAUGUCCCUCGUCCUCAUGAGAAUGAGCUGCAGCAAAGACAUGGCUGGUGGCGUGGAGAAAGGCAUCCAGGGACAAGAUACUGGGAGUGACAAAAGUCCCUGGAGUGUGGCUUGCCAUCUUGGCAGCAGGCUGCCUGGCAGACUGGAGGAUGCUAAUGAGAAGAAAGCCUCGGGAGUGCCAUGGCAGGAGCUCUGGGUUGCAGACUUGGGCUUCUCAGGCCAGACCCGCUGGCCCGAGUCAGCUCAGGAACCAGGGAAAAGUGCCACAGAGCCGUCCCCAAACCAAAGGCUUCAGGCUCCUUGCAGUUGGGCAUCUGGCCAGAUGUUAAGAAAAGGGGACAUUGCAAAGAACUCUAGCAGGAGGAAGUGGUUUGAGUUUCCUGCUUGAAGGAGGAUGCUUCAUUUAAAUAGAAUUCGGUAGAAUUAAGUAGAAGGGGGAAGUCUCUCGAGCCCUCUGCUUGGACCUGGAAGUCUGCUUCUUGCAGAGAAAGAGGAUUCAGAAAUGGCUUCCCAGGGAACCAGAUUUUACCCCAAAUUCUCAAUCGGGGUGGGGAUGGAUGUAACAGAAAACGUUUCCAACUACUGAGCCCCUGUUCUGUGUUGGGUACUUCUCUCAGUUAGUGCUUCUCCCCAAAUCCUCGUGGAAACUCAGGUUCCCAGAGGGGAAGUGAUUUGCCGCAGAAGACACAGCAAGGCAGGCUGGCACUCGGACCCACUCCCGGCUGACCGCCUCGCCACGUCCGCUCCCAAAGCCGGCUGGCCUCCCUGGGCCUGCGGGCCUCAGUCUGAGUGAGCUUCUCUCGUCUGUGAGCUGACAGUCACCAGGCCAGGCCCCUCCCUGCUUUGCAAAGCUCAGUUUUGCACAGCUAACCUCUUCAGUAGACCUCAGGGAGGUUCGACCGUGAGGGCCUGAGGACAGGGUCUGGGGUGCAUCACCUCUGUCUUCCCCGCACUGGCUCAAGGGCCUGGACCCAGUAGACGCACGGAAACAAUGGUCCCCGUGCCAGGAUCUUCUGUGUGGUAGCUCACUUCAUUCCCACACUGAGCCGGGGCCUGGGUUUGUCAUGCUCAUGUCUGAGAUGGGAAAACAGACUCAGGAAGAGAAGUAAUUUUCUCAGGAUAUGUUGCUUGAUUGUCUUUUAAAAAUAAAGGUAUUCCCUGAGUAUGGUAUAAGUAAGAUGUUUUAGGACACUUCUCUGCAAGAAGUAGCAUAUUUACUUGUAUUUCUAAAUCAAAUAAAUUUGGCUUGCCACGCCCACCUGCAUUUGGCAGGAAAUUCCGUCUCAGCGUGUGGGGUGGAGGUCGCCCCGAAUGCGGGAGUUUAUAGGGGAUGGUGUUUAGACAAGAGUCUGCCUCUGGCCUUCAGCUCCAAGACGUUCCAAUCACAGGGCAAUGCUAAUCAAGCGACGCUUUGGAGCCACUUCCCAGAGUGGCCUGGGAACGCCCCCGCAGGUCAGGUGCUGUUCGAAGAGUUGGCACGGUGUGAGAUUUUUAACCUCAGUGGGUGACGAUGGCCUCCUUCUUCCGCCCUCCCCCCAUCACACAUCCUCUGUUGGGUAAGUUGUAUUGGCCGUGGGCGUUUUAUAUUUGUAAUGUUCUUUUCUUAAAGAAAGCUCCUCAAAAUGCAUAUAUUCAGGUCCCACAAAACCUAGAUGUGCUCCUGCCUGCUUCGUUCACGGUGGCAGUCCCUCCACACGUGCCCUGAGCUGCCUUCCUGGUGGCCCUGGAGCCGUGGCUCUUCCUGUGAAAUCUUCGGCUUUUCCUCUUACCCUUUCAGAGGUUCCACCUUCCUGGAUGGGGGUGCUAUGUGGAAAUGGGAUACUGGUCACCCAUUUUGGAAACAGCAGCUUCCACAGUUUAUUUUGCCAUCUUGGAGAAGCCUUGCCGAGGUUAGGCCAUUCCCCAUUUUCAAGCACAGAGGAAAGGGUACAGAGGCCUUUGCACACACAAUGUCACAGUCAAGGUCAGAAUGUCACAAAGUCACAGGGUCACAGUUAAGGUCACAGUGCCACCAUCAAGGUCACAGGGUCACAGUCAAGGUCAGAGGGAAGGCCAGCAGUGAGACAGCAGCAGGUUGGAUGUGGCUGUCUUCAUUCUCUUAGAUGAAGUUCAAGGCAAAGGUCUCUGACAGUCCUUGGAAGAGAAUGUCCAGCUUGUUUUCCUGCCCAGAGCCUAGUAAACAGGACAACUGGAAUCUGUGGUGGCCUCAGGACACAUGGACUGCAGCCUGGCUGGCCGUGGGAGAGAAGGCAGUGUGGAAAUGGCUGACAUUAGGACCCACCCUGGCCUCUGCACUUGAUCCCCAAGGAAAUUCCUCUUCUGGGACAACCUGUCUCAGGCACUUGGAAUCUGUAUCUUGGGUCAGAAAAUAUGCACAGCCUUUGACCCAACGAUUCUACUUCUAGGAACGCAAUAAGAAGGAUAGUUGCUGAUGUGUGCAAAGAUAUAUGUCCAAGGGUGUUCAACGUAGUGUUGUUUGUAAUAGAGAAAAAGUGGAAGCAACUCAAAUAUCCAGCAAUGGUGGUAAGUCAGGAAACUUGUGUUGCUACAGUGCAUCUAUAUGAUGGAAAAAUAUUAGCCAUUAAUAAUCAUGUGGUAAAGGAAUGUGUAUUGAUAUGGAAUUUUCAGAAUAUUUUGCCAAAUGAAAAAAGGCUAUCAAACAGCAUGUACUGCCUGUUCUUACUUAAUCAUAUAAUUACAUAUUACGCUGAGGUUAACUGAACACUUACUGGAUGCCAGGCAUGGCUCUAAGCAUUUAAAAUACAGUCAUACAUUUCAUCGUGCAACGUCUAUGAAGAAGAUAUUUUUAUUAUCUAUAUAUUACACAUAAGGCACCUGAGACACAGAGCAUUUAAGUAAUUCGCCCAAGGUCACACAGUAGUAAGUGGCAGAACCUGAAUGUGACUAAGGCAGCUGGGGUCCGGAGCCAUGCCUACACCACUAAGCUGGCCCUGCUCUCUCUUCCUGUGUGUGUGCAUGUUUGUAUAGUUUUCUCUCUCUUUCUCAGAGGCUUUACACCAAAAUGUUAGCUGUGUCUUCAGUCAUCCCUUCCUCAAACAAGAUACAGCAGAUGUUUCCAUGAUGCGAGGGGAUGCUGCAGCUACUGCGGCACUGGGGGACAUCUGCGCCUUGAGCACAGAGACCACGCCACGUGCCUGUGUGGACUCCACAUGGGCACGUCCCCAAUUCACCAAUUCAGCAAACAGUGACUAGGCACCCAUUCUGUGCAGGCCUUGUUCUAGGUUUUGAGGAUUCAAAAGUGAACAGGGAAGGCACACAGGACAAUUCUCCCAUAAAACUGACAUCCCAGUGGGGAGGCAGAGAGGUGACCAGUAAGUAAACAGCCAAGAAAAACACCAGCUGGAGAUCAGUGUUGUUGGGAUCUGAAAUUAGAAGAGUACGAGAGAGUGGGACCACAGCUACAGGGGUUAAAUGGCCAGGAAAGGGGACUUUUUAGAGGUGGCAUCUCAGCUGAGACUUGAAUGACCAGAAGAAACAAGAUAUUUGUCUAUAUCCGUAAUGUAUCUAUGUCUAUCUCUAUCUACCUAUCUACCUACCUACCUAUCUAUCAUCUAUCUGUCCAUCACCUAUCUAAUCUGAGAGAGAGAGAUAAAUCAAACCCAGUAAAAUGUUAACAUUUGGGGAAUCUGGGUGAAGUGUAC
Molecule: long non-coding RNA, 18659 nt
Organism: Equus caballus (horse)
Lineage: Eukaryota; Metazoa; Chordata; Mammalia; Perissodactyla; Equidae
Source: Ensembl